Podarcis lilfordi (Lilford's wall lizard) is the source of this 372-nucleotide non-coding RNA. Lineage: Eukaryota; Metazoa; Chordata; Lepidosauria; Squamata; Lacertidae. The record is from the annotation of a GenBank genome assembly.
CAUAAGACGAGAAGACCCUGUGGAGCUUAAAAACCAAAAGUAUCAAAUAUGCUUCCUGGAUUUUUAGUUGGGGCGACUUCGGAGCAAAAAAAACCCUCCAAAAUAUGAAUUUAUUUAUUAAGACUAACACACCAAAAAUAAUUUUUAUAGACCCAGCAGUUAUUCUACUGUCUGAUCAAUGAACCAAGUUACCCCAGGGAUAACAGCGCCAUCCUCUUCUAGAGUCCCUAUCGACAAGAGGGUUUACGACCUCGAUGUUGGAUCAGGACACCCCUAUAGUGCAGCCGCUAUAAAAGGUUCGUUUGUUCAACGAUUAAAGUCCUACGUGAUCUGAGUUCAGACCGGAGAAAUCCAGGUCGGUUUCUAUCUAUG